UACGGAGGGUGCAAGCAUUGAUCGGAAUUACUGGGCGUAAAGGGCGCGUAGGCGGCAAGACAAGUCAGAUGUGAAAUUCCGGGACUCAACCCCGGAGCUGCAUUUGAAACUGUCUCGCUAGAGUGCAGUUAGGGUAAACGGAAUUCCACGUGUAGCGGUGAAAUGCGUAGAUAUGUGGAAGAACACCGGUGGUGAAGACGGUUUACUGGGCUGAAACUGACGCUGAGGCGCGAAAGCAUGGGGAGCAAACAGG
Molecule: ribosomal RNA, 253 nt
Filed under: uncultured bacterium
Lineage: Bacteria
Description: partial 16S ribosomal RNA
Rfam family: Bacterial small subunit ribosomal RNA
Source: RNAcentral